RNAcentral lists this long non-coding RNA (911 nucleotides) under Olea europaea subsp. europaea. The record is from RNAcentral. Lineage: Eukaryota; Viridiplantae; Streptophyta; Magnoliopsida; Lamiales; Oleaceae.
GCAUCUUAGGAAGAGUGUUUUCCCAACACAUGCUUUAAUCUAUUGGGUUUUUAUGCUGAUCUUGGACUCGAUUUGAUUGUGGUGAAUGGCUUAAAUUUCAACAAAACCUCGACCUAAGAUUCUGUCCAGCCUUAUCUCCAUUAUCUUCUUGUGCAGGGUCUUCCUUGUUCUGCAAGAAGUUAAAAAAGCAUUGUAUAGAAACGGCUAUACCCACAUUCUCAUUCAAAUGGGUCAUGGAUCCUACAUCUCCACGAAGGUAAUUUUUUUUUUUUGGUGUUCUGUUAAUUAAUUUGUUGAUCCUGGCGUUUAAAGUAUGAUGUCAAGUAUUCAGUAUCUAAUCUGAUUUUAAGUGAAGCAAUCUUCGCCAUCCUGGUCCACUUCGGGGAAGAAAAAGGCAAGAUAAGGGUUUUAUUCCAGGCUCCUGAUAUAGCUCUGGAAUUUUAGUCGCUAGACGAUGAAAUCAUGAAGAUAAGAGGUACAUAAGUGAAACAAAUAUGCGGACUGCCUUUUAGUUAUGUCCACUUAAUUUGGGACUUCAAUCAUAAUUCAUUAGUUUAUAGAAUUGAAAUUGAUGGUUUAUUUGUAGUGAUAAAAGUAGCAUCAAUGAACAUGCGGUCUGAUCCUUGUCCUUUAAUACAAUGGUAAUCAUUGAAUUUAGAGUCAUCAAAUGCUUCACGGUUGAAUACUCAUUAUAAAAAUGCAAACUUGAAUACGAGGCUAUGUUUCAAUGGCUCCACCUAGAUACAAUUUGUAGCCUAAUUGUUUAUUGUAACUGCCUUCUUGGUCCUUACUUUUAACUUAAAAGUUUAAAAUCUCAUCAACUUUAUAUUUUCUAAUGCUUAAUCAAUUCUGACCUUUCCUAUGUUGUUUGUCAGACAAAUCACCACUGUCUUCGUGGAACUUAAGUGAAU